GUAGCGAAAUUCCUUGUCGGGUAAGUUCCGACCUGCACGAAUGGCGUAACGAUGGCCACACUGUCUCCUCCAGAGACUCAGCGAAGUUGAAAUGUUUGUGAUGAUGCAAUCUCCCCGCGGAAAGACGGAAAGACCCCAUGAACCUUUACUGUAGCUUUGUAUUGGACUUUGAACAGAUCUGUGUAGGAUAGGUGGGAGGCUUUGAAGUGCGGUCGCUAGAUCGCAUGGAGCCAACGUUGAAAUACCACCCUGGUGUGUUUGAGGUUCUAACCUAGGCCCAUUAUCUGGGUCGGGGACAGUGCAUGGUAGGCAGUUUGACUGGGGCGGUCUCCUCCCAAAGUGUAACGGAGGAGUUCGAAGGUACGCUAGUUACGGUCGGACAUCGUGACGAUAGUGCAAUGGCAUAAGCGUGCUUAACUGCGAGACUGACAAGUCGAGCAGAUGCGAAAGCAGGACAUAGUGAUCCGGUGGUUCUGUAUGGAAGGGCCAUCGCUCAACGGAUAAAAGGUACUCCGGGGAUAACAGGCUGAUACCGCCCAAGAGUUCAUAUCGACGGCGGUGUUUGGCACCUCGAUGUCGGCUCAUCACAUCCUGGGGCUGUAGCCGGUCCCAAGGGUAUGGCUGUUCGCCAUUUAAAGAGGUACGUGAGCUGGGUUUAGAACGUCGUGAGACAGUUCGGUCCCUAUCUGCCAUGGGCGUUGGAGAUUUGAGAGGGGCUGCUCCUAGUACGAGAGGACCGGAGUGGACGCACCGCUGGUGUACCUGUUGUCACGCCCGUGGCAUCGCAGGGUAGCUAAGUGCGGAAGAGAUAACCGCUGAAAGCAUCUAAGCGGGAAACUCGUUUCAAGAUGAGAUCUGCCGGGGCCUUGAGCCCCCUAAAGAGUCGUUCUAGACCAGGACGUUGAUAGGCUGGGUGUGGAAGUGCAGUAAUGCAUUAAGCUAACCAGUACUAAUUGCUCGUGCGGCUU
RNAcentral lists this ribosomal RNA (968 nucleotides) under uncultured eukaryote. RNAcentral's name for it is "partial Bacterial large subunit ribosomal RNA". It matches the Rfam family "Bacterial large subunit ribosomal RNA", at positions 1956 to 2925 of the family's 2925-position model. The record is from RNAcentral.